UGGGCAUCUUUGUACCCCUAAUUCUACUUCGGACACUUGUCCAUUUUUACCUCUCGUCUCACUCUUUUUCUUUCUUUUUCGAGGUUCCGGGCACUUGCCCCUUUUUAUUUCCUCGCAUAUUUUUGCAUAACCCAUGCCUCUUCUGCAUUGAAUCUUUUUAGAGAGAGAUUAACAAUAUUUGGGACAGUGAGUGAUAAUAUUUUUAGCAAUUUUAAUGAAUGGUGAUGGCU
Molecule: long non-coding RNA, 230 nt
Filed under: Sorghum bicolor (sorghum)
Lineage: Eukaryota; Viridiplantae; Streptophyta; Magnoliopsida; Poales; Poaceae
Description: long non-coding RNA (SBIC_LNC006902)
Source: RNAcentral